RNAcentral lists this ribosomal RNA (1355 nucleotides) under uncultured bacterium. RNAcentral's name for it is "bacterial SSU rRNA". It matches the Rfam family "Bacterial small subunit ribosomal RNA", at positions 28 to 1387 of the family's 1533-position model. The record is from RNAcentral.
GAUGAACGCUGGCGGCGUGCUUAACACAUGCAAGUCGAACGAAGACAUCUGAGUGCUUGCACUUGGAUGGACUGAGUGGCGGACGGGUGAGUAACGCGUGGGUAACCUGCCUUAUACGGGGGGAUAACAGUUGGAAACGACUGCUAAUACCGCAUAAGCGCACGGUAUCGCAUGAUACAGUGUGAAAAACUCCGGUGGUAUAAGAUGGACCCGCGUCUGAUUAGCUUGUUGGUGAGGUAACGGCCCACCAAGGCGACGAUCAGUAGCCGGCCUGAGAGGGUGAACGGCCACAUUGGGACUGAGACACGGCCCAAACUCCUACGGGAGGCAGCAGUGGGGAAUAUUGCACAAUGGGGGAAACCCUGAUGCAGCGACGCCGCGUGAGUGAUGAAGUAUUUCGGUAUGUAAAACUCUAUCAGCAGGGAAGAUAAUGACGGUACCUGACUAAGAAGCACCGGCUAAAUACGUGCCAGCAGCCGCGGUAAUACGUAUGGUGCAAGCGCUAUCCGGAUUUACUGGGUGUAAAGGGUGCGUAGGUGGUAUGGCAAGUCAGAAGUGAAAGGCUGGGGCUCAACCCCGGGACUGCUUUUGAAACUGUCAAACUAGAGUACAGGAGAGGAAAGCGGAAUUCCUAGUGUAGCGGUGAAAUGCGUAGAUAUUAGGAGGAACACCAGUGGCGAAGGCGGCUUUCUGGACUGAAACUGACACUGAGGCACGAAAGCGUGGGGAGCAAACAGGAUUAGAUACCCUGGUAGUCCACGCCGUAAACGGUGAAUACUAGGGUGUCGGGCAGCAUAGCUGUUCGGUGCCCCAGCCAACGCCAUUAGGUUUUCCACCGGGGAAGUACGUUUCGCAAGAAUGAAACUCCAAAGAAAUUGACGGGGGACCCCCACAAGCGGUGGAGCAAGUGGGUUAAUUCGAAGCAACGGGGAAGAAACCUUACCAGGUCUUGACAUCCCGAUGACCGCUUGUUAAUUGAAGCUUUUUUUCGGAACAUCGGAGACAGAUGGUGCAUGGUUGUCGUCAGCUCGUGUCGUGAGAUGUUGGGUUAAGUCCCGCAACGAGCGCAACCCCUAUUUUCAGUAGCCAGCAUUUUGGAUGGGCACUCUGGAGAGACUGCCCGGGAUAACCGGGAGGAAGGUGGGGAUGACGUCAAAUCAUCAUGCCCCUUAUGAUCUGGGCUACACACGUGCUACAAUGGCUGUUACAGAGAGAAGCGAAUCCGCGAGGAAGAGCAAACCUCAAAAAGGCAGUCUCAGUUCGGAUUGUAGUCCGCAACUCGACUACAUGAAGCUGGACUCGCUAGUAAUCGCGAAUCAGAAUGUCGCGGUGAAUACGUUCCCGGGUCUUGCACA